ACUAUAGAUCAUUUUCACUUAACAGUAAACACACAUAACCAAGAAUUAAAACAAAGGAAUUGAGGUUAGAUUUUGGUAUCGUGUCUGACAGCUCCUUUGUUUUUACUGGUAAUAUUGGUAUCGUGUCUGACGUUUACAAGGUCAUGAAAAUAAUCUAUGCUAAGCAGAGCUGACAUUAAA
Long non-coding RNA from Bradysia coprophila, 180 nucleotides. The record is from RefSeq and is a predicted model, not a curated record. NCBI's taxonomy places the organism in Eukaryota, Metazoa, Arthropoda, Insecta, Diptera, Sciaridae.